This is a long non-coding RNA of Dalotia coriaria, 229 nucleotides long. RefSeq lists it as uncharacterized. NCBI's taxonomy places the organism in Eukaryota, Metazoa, Arthropoda, Insecta, Coleoptera, Staphylinidae. The transcript has 5 exons. The record is from RefSeq and is a predicted model, not a curated record.
UAGGGGAACCAUUUCUGUAUCAGAUUGAGUUUUGCACCUGAACCCGACAUUGUAGGGGAACCAUUUCUGUAUCAGAUUGAGUUUUGCACCUGAACCCGACAUUGUAGGGGAACCAUUUCUGUAUCAGAUUGAGUUUUGCACCUGAACCCGACAUUGUAGGGGAACCAUUUCUGUAUCAGAUUGAGUUUUGCACCUGAACCCGACAUUGUAGGGGAACCAUUUCUGUAUC